UCCUCGUUAGUAUAGUGGUGAGUAUCCCCGCCUGUCACGCGGGAGCCCGGGGUUCGAUUCCCCGACGGGGAG
Molecule: non-coding RNA, 72 nt
Organism: Ciona savignyi (Pacific transparent sea squirt)
Lineage: Eukaryota; Metazoa; Chordata; Ascidiacea; Phlebobranchia; Cionidae
Source: Rfam